RNAcentral lists this ribosomal RNA (253 nucleotides) under uncultured bacterium. RNAcentral describes it as "partial 16S ribosomal RNA". It matches the Rfam family "Bacterial small subunit ribosomal RNA", at positions 524 to 776 of the family's 1533-position model. The record is from RNAcentral.
UACGUAGGGACCAAGCGUUGUUCGGAUUUACUGGGCGUAAAGGGCGCGUAGGCGGCGUGGUAAGUCACUUGUGAAAUCUCCGAGCUUAACUCGGAACGGUCAAGUGAUACUGCUGUGCUAGAGUGCAGAAAGGGCAAUCGGAAUUCUUGGUGUAGCGGUGAAAUGCGUAGAUAUCUGGAGGAACACCGGUGGCGAAGGCGGCAUCCUGGACCGGUAUUGACACUGAGGCGCGAAAGCCAGGGGAGCAAACGGG